AUUGAACGCUGGCGGCAGGCUUAACACAUGCAAGUCGAGCGGAGAUGAGGUGCUUGCACCUUAUCUUAGCGGCGGACGGGUGAGUAAUGCUUAGGAAUCUGCCUAUUAGUGGGGGACAACACUCCGAAAGGAAUGCUAAUACCGCAUACGUCCUACGGGAGAAAGCAGGGGAUCUUCGGACCUUGCGCUAGUAGAUGAGCCUAAGUCGGAUUAGCUAGUUGGUGGGGUAAAGGCCUACCAAGGCGACGAUCUGUAGCGGGUCUGAGAGGAUGAUCCGCCACACUGGGACUGAGACACGGCCCAGACUCCUACGGGAGGCAGCAGUGGGGAAUAUUGGACAAUGGGGGGAACCCUGAUCCAGCCAUGCCGCGUGUGUGAAGAAGGCCUUAUGGUUGUAAAGCACUUUAAGCGAGGAGGAGGCUACUGAGACUAAUACUCUUGGAUAGUGGACGUUACUCGCAGAAUAAGCACCGGCUAACUCUGUGCCAGCAGCCGCGGUAA
Molecule: ribosomal RNA, 501 nt
Filed under: uncultured Pseudomonadales bacterium
Lineage: Bacteria; Pseudomonadati; Pseudomonadota; Gammaproteobacteria; Pseudomonadales
Description: bacterial SSU rRNA
Rfam family: Bacterial small subunit ribosomal RNA
Source: RNAcentral